Pongo pygmaeus (Bornean orangutan) is the source of this 408-nucleotide non-coding RNA. NCBI's taxonomy places the organism in Eukaryota, Metazoa, Chordata, Mammalia, Primates, Hominidae. The record is from the annotation of a RefSeq genome assembly.
UGCCUGGGUCAGAGCUCUGGGGAGGAACUGCCCAGUUACGACCCAGAGGGAACCAUGGAAGCCCCAGCACAGCUUCUCUUCCUCCUGCUGCUCUGGCUCCCAGAUACCACCGGAGAAAUAGUGAUGACACAGUCUCCAGCCACCCUGUCUUUGUCUCCAGGGGAAAGAGCCACCAUCUCCUGCAGGGCCAGUCAGAGUGUUAGCAACUACUUAGCCUGGUACCAGCAGAAACCUGGGCAGGCUCCCAGGCUCCUUAUCCAUAGUGCAUCCACCAGGGCCACUGGCAUCCCAGCCAGGUUCAGUGGCAGUGGGUCUGGGACAGACUUCACUCUCACCAUCAGCAGCGUGGAGCCUGAAGAUUUUGCAGUCUAUUACUGUCAGCAGUAUAAUAACUGGAACCCACAGUGA